Long non-coding RNA from Nicotiana tabacum (common tobacco), 1287 nucleotides. RefSeq lists it as uncharacterized. NCBI's taxonomy places the organism in Eukaryota, Viridiplantae, Streptophyta, Magnoliopsida, Solanales, Solanaceae. The record is from RefSeq and is a predicted model, not a curated record.
UUCAACCAGAAAGAGAGAACGUAGAGAAGGGACCAAUCUGAAUUGUGAAGACAAGUCAACGGCCGAGUUUAUAUAGUCAUCAUUUUUGGGAAAAAGGUUAGAUUUAUCCCUUUACUUUCCAAAAUUAUCAAUAUUUAUCCCUAAUUUUACUAUCGGUUCAAAUACGUCCCUAACGUUAAAAAAGUAAAUAGACAUACCCCCAACUCUAACGGCUGUCCACUAUGGCAUGGGACCCGCUCAAUAAAAAAUACGAAAAAGGUCCAAAAAUAUUCCUAAACUAUGGUAUAUAGCUCACUUUUGUCCUCCGUUAGUAAACUGGGCCAAAAAUAUCCUUCCCGUUAGCACAAUGUGCUACUAAUGUCCUUCAACCUAACAGCCCUCCACACAAGCCAUUUUAAUCCUACAUGGCAUCCACGUAGCUAUGACAUGACAGCCACAUAAGCGGGCAACCUUCUAAACCCGCUCAGAAACACAUUUCCAAACAAAGAUCUGGCUGUAACCCCACCUCCAUACCCCAUUUCAUAACAAAACCCCAAUUUCUUCCUAGACCCAAUUUUCCUUCAAAAUUUCUACUCCAAUUUCUGCUCAAAUUUCCAUAUUUAUGCUCAAAUCUCCAGAUUUCUGCUCAAUGUCUGAUUUAUCUGUGAACGCGUACGAAAUUCAAUAUGCAAAGAGGUGUCAUUGCGCUAUAUUUGAUAGCUUGGUCAGAUGCCAAUGCUGGGAGAAGGUUCUACAAAUGUCCAAGAUCCAAGGUUACUUCUUGCGGGUAGUUUGAAUGGAUUGACGAAGAGCUCCCUCGUCGAGCGGUAAUAGUGAUCAAAGAUUUAAAAACUAAAUUUGAUGCUGCUAAGGUUGAGAGGAACAAUUUGAGGAAUAAAGUUUACCUCAUGGAACAAGCUACGAUGGUUCAAAGGGGCUCUAAGAACUUGUUUGAUGAAAUGGAAGAUGUUAUGACGGUUGAAAGGCAUACUCUGAAGAUGAAACUUGACGAAAUGGAGCAAUUUCAACUUAUAGAAGCUGAAAAAGCUAGUAAGUUAGAGGUCAAAGUGAAGAAGAUGAGAAAUAUCAUUUUGGUUUCAUGGGCUUUAUUAUUUGCUUUGGUUGUCGUAGGGAUGAUGAAGUGAAUGUAUGUUGUUUUAAUAUGUUGUUGUAGUAUUUUGGUUUAAUUAACGGUUGAUGAAGUUAAUCUAUGUAUGUUUAGUAUGUUGUAGUAUGUUUCCAACUCUUCAAAGUGAUGGUAUCAAUGUUUCUUUUUCAACCAUUUGUGGGACAGAACUAGAAUGCAGG